RNAcentral lists this ribosomal RNA (460 nucleotides) under uncultured bacterium. RNAcentral describes it as "partial 16S ribosomal RNA". It matches the Rfam family "Bacterial small subunit ribosomal RNA", at positions 338 to 795 of the family's 1533-position model. The record is from RNAcentral.
CCUACGGGAGGCAGCAGUGAGGAAUAUUGGUCAAUGGACGUAAGUCUGAACCAGCCAAGCCGCGUGCAGGAAGAAGGCUCUAUGAGUUGUAAACUGCUUUUGUACAAGGGUAAACCUGAAUACGUGUAUUCAGCUGAAAGUACUGUACGAAUAAGGAUCGGCUAACUCCGUGCCAGCAGCCGCGGUAAUACGGAGGAUCCAAGCGUUAUCCGGAUUUAUUGGGUUUAAAGGGUGCGUAGGCGGAUUUAUAAGUUAGAGGUGAAAUGUCCGAGCUUAACUCGGGAACUGCCUCUAAUACUGUUGAGCUAGAGAGUAUAUGCGGUAGGCGGAAUGUAUGGUGUAGCGGUGAAAUGCUUAGAGAUCAUACAGAACACCGAUUGCGAAGGCAGCUUACCAAGCUAUAUCUGACGUUGAGGCACGAAAGCGUGGGGAGCAAACAGGAUUAGAUACCCUUGUAGUC